RNAcentral lists this ribosomal RNA (267 nucleotides) under Planctomycetaceae bacterium. Its description in RNAcentral is "partial 16S ribosomal RNA". It matches the Rfam family "Bacterial small subunit ribosomal RNA", at positions 1274 to 1533 of the family's 1533-position model. The record is from RNAcentral. Lineage: Bacteria; Pseudomonadati; Planctomycetota; Planctomycetia; Planctomycetales; Planctomycetaceae.
CCAUAAAACGCGCCCCAGUUCGGAUUGCAGGCUGCAACUCGCCUGCAUGAAGCCGGAAUCGCUAGUAAUCGCGGGGCAGCAUACCGCGGUGAAUANGUUCCUGAGCCUUGUACACACCGCCCGUCAAGCCACGAAAGUGGGGGGCANCCGAAGUCGCNNAGCUAACNNUNAGGAGGCAGGCGCCGAAGNUGAACUCNGCNAUUGGGACUAAGUCGUAACAAGGUAGCCGUAGGGGAACCUGCGGCUGGAUCACCUCCUUUCUAAGGA